RNAcentral lists this transfer RNA (73 nucleotides) under Botryobasidium botryosum FD-172 SS1. RNAcentral describes it as "tRNA-His (GTG) (tRNA-His-GTG-2-1)". It matches the Rfam family "tRNA". From Rfam's summary of the family: Transfer RNA (tRNA) molecules are approximately 80 nucleotides in length. Their secondary structure includes four short double-helical elements and three loops (D, anti-codon, and T loops). Lineage: Eukaryota; Fungi; Basidiomycota; Agaricomycetes; Cantharellales; Botryobasidiaceae. The record is from RNAcentral.
GUCUCCGUCGCUUAGUUGGUUAAAGCAUCGCAUUGUGGCUGCGGGGCCGGGUGUUCGAAUCACCCCGGAGACA